Molecule: long non-coding RNA, 4905 nt
Organism: Aethina tumida (small hive beetle)
Lineage: Eukaryota; Metazoa; Arthropoda; Insecta; Coleoptera; Nitidulidae
Exons: 7
Source: RefSeq, a predicted model, not a curated record
GCACAGCUCAAUACUACUACUACUACUACCUAAUACUUUUCAAAUAAAUUUAAGAGACCUGGAGUGAAGAUGACAAUAGGUUGCAAUCACCAUCAUUUCGGGUGUGAACCAAUGAAUCGAAAUUGAAGUGUCUACACUAAACUUAUUAUAUUUAUAAUAAAAAAUAUGCAAUUCCUAUUACCGUAAACGGAAGAGAUCUCAAAGUUAUUUUGGUUGGGGCUGAACACAUGUUGGACAUGAGAUUUUUACCAACGGGUGAGGACAUGUUGAUCCAAGAGACUAUGUUAGCUACGAUUCAAGACGGACGCUGAAAUUUUCUGUUAACGUUUCCAAAAGAACAGGCUAAGAACACCGUUCCAAAUAUGGUGGCGGAUUAUCCAAGGCGUUUAUCAGAUGCAGGAUAUUUUGGUACUAGCACCACUGUCGAUUAAGUGAUCGAGGUCAACAUGAACCAUAAAAACGAAUAAAAUGAGGAAAAUUAAUAUUAAACAAAAAUUGGCAUAAACACUUCGCCUUCGGUGAUAAUGAAAAUGGGUUUUCUGCGACACUGUUGGAACACAAAUCAUUAAGUCUCUUCCAUUUACCACAAAACGGAUCUUCAAAUUAAAUAAACUUAAUAAAUUUAAAGUAUAAUAAAAAUUACAUAAAAGCAACAUAGUUACAACAUUGAAAAUGACCAGACCUGCUGGAAAUCUACGGAUACGCAACAAGAGAGAAAUAACAAUAUACAUGUAGUGUACUUCUUUCCACAUUACAAGAAGUGCUAUAACGGAAACAAGAAUCGGAAACAUGUCGAUCAAACGUGAUAAUAAAACAGGUGAAGAUAUAGAAUAUGGUCGUAUUAUAGUUCGAGGCAACGGCAAACGAUACCGGCAAAAAGAAACACGGAAUAUUUAUAUGUUCAUAGAACUAGGUGGAGAUGAAAAUAUACCACAUUCGCAAAUAACAUCACUCCAGGUGUGAGCUGAAUGAAUCGACAUUGAACUGAAUGUUUGAAAUUUGUAGUUGUUGUUGACAACAAUGGAUUGAAUAAGUAAAUAAUCUGACCACACUAAACUCAUUCUAACAAAAAAUUACUGCAAAGGGGUGAGACUUGGUGGUCUGUACUCAAAGUGGGUCGAGAGAAACCGCUGCCCAUUGCAAAAAUAAUAAUGAUCGAUUUCUGAAGGCUACAUAGCGCAAUCCCAUGUGGUAAUCACCACUUCGCACACAAAUAUAUGAUCAAGCUAGGACAUUUAUAUGCAAUACAAUUGUUGAGGUAGUAUUGUGCUACGGUAGCACAUCAUUCAUGCAUCCGAGAAAUUAGGUGGCCAGAGAUUGUCACAUUUUAGCAGCAAUUUCCGGUCGCAUCAAUGAUUUUGUCGCACAUACAAUUGUGUCUGACGUCUCAUACGUAUAUUUUGUUCUGCGUGAAGCUGGCCAUAUGUUGGACUUGGGUUUUUUACCCAUGGAUGUGUAGAUGUUGAUCUAAGAGACUAUAUCACAACGGUAAAAAAUUAUUGUAAAAGGAAAUUGACAUAAAUUUAUGGACCAGCUGCCGUCCAUCGGUUAAUAAGAAUCCCAUGUCCAACAUAUCAGCUUCAUCCAGUACAAUAUUGCAUGACACGACAGAUACAUAUUUAUGUGUGACGAAAUCAAUAAUGCGGUCGGAAGUAGCUUCUAAAAUGUGGCAACCUCUGAUAACCUGAUCUCCAAUGCAUAAAUGAUAUGCCACCGUACACAAAUACGAUCUUAAAAUUGUAUUGUAAGUAAAUUUUCUAGUUUAAUCAUAAAUUUUUAUAUGGAGUUUUGAUUACCACAUUAGGUCGCGGUUAAUAAUUUUCGGUAGUCGCGGAUUAUUAUUAUUAUUAUUAUUGAAAAGGCAGUGGAUUUUUCCCGACAUUGUUUGAACACAAUUGCACUUCCAUCUACAACUAUACGAAUCUUCAAAUUAAAGUAUCUUUAUAAGUUUAAAUUAAAAAAAAAAAACACGUAAAAACAAUUUAGUUGCAACAUUGAAAAUGACCGGACACGAUUAACUCAAAGGAGUAAAUAGACAUGUUGGAGGUUAUAAAAGAGGCACGAAAUAUAUACAUAUAGGCAAAAGAAGAAGAACGGCAAUGUGCAUGUGUAGUAGUUUUCUCCACAUUAUGACAAGUGCUUUAACGGAAACAAGAAUCGGAAACAUGUCGAUCCAGUGUGAUAAUAAAACAGGUGAAGAUGAUGGUCGUAUAUGAUUCGAGGCGGUGAAACAAGUCGCAAUUUUCAUAACGAAAACGAUAUUGGAAAAUAGAAACACAGAAGAUUUAUAUGUCCAUAGAACUGGGUGGAAAUGAAAAUCUACCAAAUUCGCAAAUAGCGUCACUUCAGAUGUGAUCUUUAAGAAUCUACGUUGAAGUAAAUGUUUGAAAUUAAUAAACAUAAUAUCAUUGGACUGAAUAAGUAAAUAACAUAACCUCAUUAUACUCAUUCUAACAAAAAAAAAACUGCAAAUGGGUUAGACUUGGUGAUAUGUUCUCAAAGUGGGUCGAGAGAAACGGCCGUCCAUUGGAUAAACAAUAAUUAUCGAUUUCUGAAGGCGACAUAGCGCAAUCCCAUGUGGUAAUCACCACUUCGCACACAAAUAUAUGAUCAAGCUAGGACAUUUAUAUGCAAUACAAUUGUUGAGGUAGUAUUGUGCUACGGUAGGACAUCAUUCAUGCAUCCGAGAAAUUAGGUGGCCAGAGAUUGUCACAUUUUAGCAGCAAUUUCCGGUCGCAUCAAUGAUUUUGUCGCACAUACAAUUGUGUCUGACGUCUCAUACGUAUAUUUUGUUCUGCGUGAAGCUGGCCAUAUGUUGGACUUGGGUUUUUUACCCAUGGAUGUGUAGAUGUUGAUCUAAGAGACUAUAUCACAACGGUAAAAAAUUAUUGUAAAAGGAAAUUGACAUAAAUUUAUGGACCAGCUGCCGUCCAUCGGUUAAUAAGAAUCCCAUGUCCAACAUAUCAGCUUCAUCCAGUACAAUAUUGCAUGACACGACAGAUACAUAUUUAUGUGUGACGAAAUCAAUAAUGCGGUCGGAAGUAGCUUCUAAAAUGUGGCAACCUCUGAUAACCUGAUCUCCAAUGCAUAAAUGAUAUGCCACCGUACACAAAUACGAUCUUAAAAUUGUAUUGUAAGUAAAUUUUCUAGUUUAAUCAUAAAUUUUUAUAUGGAGUUUUGAUUACCACAUUAGGUCGCGGUUAAUAAUUUUCGGUAGUCGCGGAUUAUUAUUAUUAUUAUUAUUGAAAAGGCAGUGGAUUUUUCCCGACAUUGUUUGAACACAAUUGCACUUCCAUCUACAACUAUACGAAUCUUCAAAUUAAAGUAUCUUUAUAAGUUUAAAUUAAAAAAAAAAACACGUAAAAACAAUUUAGUUGCAACAUUGAAAAUGACCGGACACGAUUAACUCAAAGGAGUAAAUAGACAUGUUGGAGGUUAUAAAAGAGGCACGAAAUAUAUACAUAUAGGCAAGAGAAGAAGAACGGCAAUGUGCAUGUGUAGUAGUUUUCUCCACAUUAUGACAAGUGUUUUAGCAAAAACCUCACAAAAACAAUUUAGUUGCAACAUUGAAAAUGACCGGACAAGAACAUGUCGAUCCAAAAUGAUAAUAAAACAGAUGAAGAUGAUGAUCGUAUAUUGUUCGAGACGAUAGAACAAGUCACAUUUUUCAUAACGCAAACGAUACUGGAAAAUAGAAACACGGAAGAUUUAUAUGUCCAUAGAACUGGGUGCAGAUGAAAAUCUACCAAAUUCGCAAAUAACAUCACUUCAGAUGUGAUCUUUAAGAAUCUAUGUUAAAGUAAAUGUUUGAAAUUAAUAAACAUAAUAACAUUGGACUGAAUAAGUAAAAUAAUAUAAUUACAAAAUACUCAUUCUAAUAAAAAAAUACUCAAAUGGGUUAGACUUGGUGGUCUGUACUCAAAGUGGGUCGAGAGAAAUGGCCGUCCAUUGGAUAAACAAUAAUUAUCGAUUUCUGAAAGCGACAUAGCGCAAUCCCAUGUGGUAAUCACUACUUCACACACAAAUAUAUGAUCAAGCUAGGACAUUUAUAUGCAAUACAAUUGUUGAGGUAGUAUUGUGCUACGGUAGCACAUCAUUCAUGCAUCUGAGAAAUUAGGUGGCCAGAAAUUGUCACAUUUUAACAGCAAUUUCCGGUCGCACCAAUGAUUUUGUCACACAUACAAUUGUGUCUGACGUCUCAUCCGUAUAUUUUGAUCUGCGUGAAGCUGACCAUAUGUUGGACUUGAGUUUUUUACCCAUGGAUGUGUAGAUGUUGAUCUAAGAGACUAUAUCACAACGGUAAAAAAUUAUUGUAAAAAAAUUGACGUAAAUUUAUGGACCAGCUGCCGUCCAUCGGUUAAUAAGAAUCCCAUGUCCAACAUAUCAGCUUCAUCCAGAACAAUAUUGCAUGACACGACAGAUACAUAUUUAUGUGUGACGAAAUCAAUAAUGCGGUCGGAAGUAGCUUCUAAAAUGUGACAACCUCUGAUAACCUGAUCUCCAAUGCAUAAAUGAUAUGCCAUCGUACACAAAUACGAUCUUAUAAUUGUAUUGUUGAUAAAUUUUCUAGUUUAAUCAUAAAUUUUUCUAUGGAGUUUUGAUUACCACAUUAGGUCGCGGUUAAUAGUUUUCGGUAGUUAUUAUUGUUAUUAUUAAUGAAAAGACUAUAGGUUUUUCGCGUCACUGUUUGAACACAACCUAUCAAUUCCCUUCCAUCUACCACAAAACGGAUCUUCAAAUUGAAUUAAUUUUAUGAAGUUUCACAAGAAGUGCUGGGACAGAAACAAGAAUUGGAUAGUUGCCUAUCCUUAAGGAUAGAUUUGCCAACACUUACAUUUUGGGUGUCAAGCUCAAAAUUUUUUUAAUAAACCUCUCAAUUUCGUAUACUGUAACAAAAUUCCUACU